AUGGCGAGUUCUCCUUCUUCCUUGCUACACGGAGUUGCGAUCCUUGCUCUCAUAUGCUGCUCCUUGUCAUGCUCGGCGGCGGCCGGAGAUGUAGUUGCUCUCGACGGACGUCGUAAUCACUGGAAACCUCCGCCGACUCCGUUGCCAGGGAAGCAGCCCACUCCGGUCCCAACUCCGCCGACUCCGGUGCCAGGGAGACCGGCGACUCCAUGUCCUCCAGUCUCUGUUCCUCCGCCACCGCCAACGCCCGUGGGCAGAUACCCGGUGACCCCAACUCCUUCUACCCCUAUUUGUGGGCCGCCGCCGCCCCCGGUGCAGCGGGAGGUGUCGGCACUUUCGCCGCACCGCAAGACCCUACAGAAGGCUGUUAAGAACGUGCUUUAA
This 384-nucleotide ribosomal RNA is filed under the name Triticum aestivum (bread wheat). RNAcentral's name for it is "partial small subunit ribosomal RNA". Lineage: Eukaryota; Viridiplantae; Streptophyta; Magnoliopsida; Poales; Poaceae. The record is from RNAcentral.